This 253-nucleotide ribosomal RNA is filed under the name uncultured bacterium. RNAcentral's name for it is "partial 16S ribosomal RNA". It matches the Rfam family "Bacterial small subunit ribosomal RNA", at positions 524 to 776 of the family's 1533-position model. The record is from RNAcentral.
UACGGGGGGGGCAAGCGUUGUUCGGAAUUACUGGGCGUAAAGGGCGCGUAGGCGGCCUACUAAGUCGGACGUGAAAUCCCUCGGCUCAACCGGGGAACUGCGUCCGAUACUGGUGGGCUUGAAUCCGGGAGAGGGAUGUGGAAUUCCAGGUGUAGCGGUGAAAUGCGUAGAUAUCUGGAGGAACACCGGUGGCGAAGGCGACAUCCUGGACCGGUAUUGACGCUGAGGCGCGAAAGCCAGGGGAGCAAACGGG